GAUGAACGCUGGCGGCGUGCCUAAUACAUGCAAGUCGAGCGAACGGACGAGAAGCUUGCUUCUCUGAUGUUAGCGGCGGCCGGGUGAGUAACACGUGGAUAACCUACUUAUAAGACUGGGAUAACUUCGGGAAACCGGCGCUAACACCGGAUAAUAUUUUGAACCGCAGGGUUCAAAAGUGAAAGACGGUCUUGCGGUCACAUAUAGAUGGAUCCGCGCUGUAUUAGCUAGUUGGUAAGGUAACGGCUUACCAAGGAAACGAUGCAUAGCCAACCUGAGAGGGUGAUCGGCAACACUGGAACGAAGACACGCACCGGAAUCCUAAGGAAUGGAGCAAAAGGGCAUGUUCGGCAAUGGGCGAACGCCAGACGGCACAAACCCACGUGAGUGAUGACGAUCUUCGGGUCGAUGAACUCUAUUAUUAGGAAAAAACAUAUGUGUAGAGUACAGAGCACAGCUUGACGGUAACUGAGAAAAAAGCCACGGCUAACUACGUG
Molecule: ribosomal RNA, 497 nt
Filed under: uncultured bacterium
Lineage: Bacteria
Description: partial 16S ribosomal RNA
Rfam family: Bacterial small subunit ribosomal RNA
Source: RNAcentral